This 413-nucleotide unclassified non-coding RNA is filed under the name uncultured fungus. RNAcentral describes it as "partial contains small subunit ribosomal RNA, internal transcribed spacer 1, and 5.8S ribosomal RNA". The stretch from base 1 to 73 matches the Rfam family "Eukaryotic small subunit ribosomal RNA", at positions 1759 to 1831 of the family's 1831-position model. Lineage: Eukaryota; Fungi. The record is from RNAcentral.
GCAAACUUGGUCAUUUAGAGGAAGUAAAAGUCGUAACAAGGUUUCCGUAGGUGAACCUGCGGAAGGAUCAUUAUUGAAUAAUUUGCCUUGAUGGGUUGUUGCUGGCCUCUCGAGGCACUGUGCACACCUGUCUUGACUCUAUUCAUCCACCUGUGCACCUAUUGUAGUUUUGUACUCAUCUGGGGGUCAUGAAAGCGGAGUGUUAUUCAGUUGAAACACACUGGAUCUGAGGAUUGCCUUGUUGGCUUUCUUCUAUUAGCUCUGUGGAAUUGCACUUUCUUGAGUAUAAAGCUAUGUCUUUUAUCAUAAACCAUAUAGUAUCAGAAUGUAUUCAAUGGGUCUUUGUGCCUAUAAAACAUUAUACAACUUUCAGCAACGGAUCUCUUGGCUCUCGCAUCGAUGAAGAACGCAGC